RNAcentral lists this ribosomal RNA (607 nucleotides) under uncultured bacterium. RNAcentral describes it as "bacterial SSU rRNA". It matches the Rfam family "Bacterial small subunit ribosomal RNA", at positions 331 to 929 of the family's 1533-position model. The record is from RNAcentral.
CCAGACUCCUACGGGAGGCAGCAGUGGGGAAUCUUCCGCAAUGGACGAAAGUCUGACGGAGCAACGCCGCGUGAGUGAUGACGGCCUUCGGGUUGUAAAGCUCUGUUAAUCGGGACGAAAGGCCUUCUUGCGAAUAGUUAGAAGGAUUGACGGUACCGGAAUAGAAAGCCACGGCUAACUACGUGCCAGCAGCCGCGGUAAUACGUAGGUGGCAAGCGUUGUCCGGAAUUAUUGGGCGUAAAGCGCGCGCAGGCGGAUAGGUCAGUCUGUCUUAAAAGUUCGGGGCUUAACCCCGUGAUGGGAUGGAAACUGCCAAUCUAGAGUAUCGGAGAGGAAAGUGGAAUUCCUAGUGUAGCGGUGAAAUGCGUAGAUAUUAGGAAGAACACCAGUGGCGAAGGCGACUUUCUGGACGAAAACUGACGCUGAGGCGCGAAAGCCAGGGGAGCGAACGGGAUUAGAUACCCCGGUAGUCCUGGCCGUAAACGAUGGGUACUAGGUGUAGGAGGUAUCGACCCCUUCUGUGCCGGAGUUAACGCAAUAAGUACCCCGCCUGGGGAGUACGACCGCAAGGUUGAAACUCAAAGGAAUUGACGGGGGCCCGCACAAG